Molecule: non-coding RNA, 3709 nt
Organism: Pelobates cultripes (western spadefoot toad)
Lineage: Eukaryota; Metazoa; Chordata; Amphibia; Anura; Pelobatidae
Source: the annotation of a GenBank genome assembly
CUUAAAUUAGAGGGACAAAGGUUUAAAAAUAAUAUCAGGAAGUAUUACUUUACUGCGAGGGUAGUGGAUGCAUGGAAUUGCCUUCCAGCUGAAGUGGUAGAGGUUAACACAGUAAAGGAGUUUAAGCAUGCGUGGGAUAAGCAUAAGGCUAUCCUAACUAUAAGAUAAGGCCACGGACUAAUGAAAGUAUUUAGAAAAUUGGGCAGACUAGAUGGGCCGAAUGGUUCUUAUCUGCCGUCACAUUCUAUGUUUUUAUGUUUAAAAUAUGAACAACUAGAUAUAACAAUGGUCUAGAUCAGGGAUAGGCAACCUUUGACACUCCAGAUGUUUUGGAUUACAUCCCCCAUAAUGCUCUUACACCCAUAAUGCUUGCAAAGAAUCAUGGGAAGUGUAGUCCAAAACAUCUGGAGUGUCGAAGGUUGCCUACGCCUGGAUUUAGAUAGAUAAGAAACGUCAAGGUGGAAAAGAAAUCGCUCUAAAGUUAAAGAAAUGUCAAUUUUUUAACUUUCAAUUUCAGAUGAGUUAGUUUAAGACAAGCCCACCAAAUAUGCUUUAGUGAGCCAACAUUUCUAUUACAUCUCCAACAAAGAUUAGAGGUAUUUGGUUAACAUUUACAUAACUUUAUAGGCACCAUAUGCCAUCUGUGUAUAAUUUUAAAAAAGGUCUCCUGUAUGUUCACACAAUAGAUAGAUUUCCCAAUUAUUUUAAGAGAGUUUUUCCAAAUCUGGAAAGAAAACGUUUUGUCAAUGUCUUUUUCCCAUUCUUUAAUAGAUUUUGUUUUCACAUUUUGAUUUAGGGAAUAUACGGCUUUCCUAAUAUUAGAAGAUAUCUUUCCAAAAUCUCCUAGAAGGAGCUUAUCUAAAGGUGAUUCAUUUAUUAUUAUCUCUGUAAUUCUCAAUCUUUGCUUUUGUUUUUCCUUAAAUGACCUUAAAUCAAAUGUCCAUCUAUGCAUCCACCCCAUCUCUUAGCCCAUCUGACCCUGAUAUAUCUCUCUCUCCCACAGUCUGAUUUUAAACAUACCCAGUCCAGCAUAGAACUCAGAGCUCCAUCAGCUGUUCCACGGCCAUUUGUAACAGGUAGCCUUCUGGAAGACUACCCUACCCCUCGCCCAUGUCCUCAUUUAUAGAUAGUCUCCCACACAACUUUCAAUCUCCUGAAAUGACAGGUGCAAACACUGAUCAGCACACCCUUCCAAUCUCUUAACCCUAUAGAACACAUACCCUCUCCCCCUUCAAAUAGAUAUAUCACACACCAAUAUUAUAUACUUUUAUUUAAUUUUAGUUUUUCACUAUUUGUGUUUCAUUUUCAACCACACACCUCAUACCACUAACUUGAAUCCAAUUAUAACCAUACUGAUAUUCUUAAUAACCCUUUUCUCAAUCCAAUUUUGUUCACACCGCUACCACCAUAAGCACACACCUCAAACUGGAACACAAAUUAUAAUACACCAUGGCCUGCUCUGUUCCUGUAACUUAUCUGCUAAGUGCUGGUGGAGAGUUAUACAAAAUAGCCCUCCUACCCCCACCUCACAAAAUUAUAAAUUAUCCCAUUCACUAUAGGGCCAAACAAAAAUGAUGUCCAAAUUCCUAUUCCUUAUGUUACUUGUCCUAUCAAAUGAUGUGGAGUCUAACCCUGGUCCCCCAGCUAAUUCUAGUCCUAAUCUCCCCACUAAGAAAGGCCUCUCUUUUGUGCACUGCAACAUCCGUAGUUUACUCCCUAAACUGGAUGCACUGCAAGCCUGGUGUUCCCAUUACAAACCAAAAAUCAUUGUGCUCUCAGAAUCAUGGUUAACGACUAAAAUACCAGACACCGCCAUUGCAAUACAGGGUUAUUCAUGUUUUAGAAAUGACAGAGCAAAGAGAGGAGGAGGCAUUGUUAUUUAUGUUGACAAUUCCAUAAAGUUUACCCCCUUACAAAACCUACCACUUUUGAUUUCCUUUCUGACACAAUUGAGAUCCUGUGCAGUAAAUCAAUCAUUGUUGCAGGAAUCUACCGCCCACCUAGCUCCCCUGUGCAUUCCCUAUCUGACAUAGCCCAUCUCCUUUGUGAAACCAUAGCUCAAAACCCAAAAAGUGAACUGUUGGUCUUUGGAGAUUUGAAUAUUGAUUGGCUGAAUUCUAAAAAUAAUAGUUCUUGCUCGCUGUUUAAGACUUUGCAGCUAACGCAAUUAAUCUCCUCCCCAACUCUCAUAAACAUUAAAAGCAAUAACAAUACCCUGCUCGAUUGGAUUCUCUCCACUUCUCCUGAUAGAAUCCAGGAGGUUGGUGUUCUCCCAAACACUUUCAGUGAUCACUGUUUAGUGUACUGCGUGCGUGAAAUAAAGGCUAUUAAAUCUUAAAUCCUUUCUUAAUGACAUCAAGAACCUCCCAUGGCACAGAUUAAACAUUAUCCCAGAUCUAGACUGUGCUGUUGAAUUCUUUCAGUCUGAACUCCUACAAAUUUGGAAUUUGCAUGCCCCGCUGCGUAAGGUGAGGGUAAAAGGAGCACAUAUGAACUGGAUCACAGCUGACCUCAUCCAAAUGUACCAGUUUUGGUAUUCUUUGUGGUCAAAGUUCAAGUGUACUGGCUCUAUGAAUGAUCAAUGUGCAUAUAGACAAUGGCGAAAUAUAUGCACAAAACAGACAAAACUGGCCAAGGCCCAAUAUUUCUAUGAAAAUCUGAACAGUAACAUCUCAAACCCUAGAAACGUUUGAAAAGUCAUAAAUAAACUACAAACGCCCCCAAUCCACUCCCAACCCUCCACUGUCAAAGUGGGUAACCAAACCCUGCAACUUCCCUUAGCUGUAGCAAAUGCCUUUAACAAUUAUUUUGUCGGAUGCUUUACUGCCCUGAUUGCCAAGCUAAUAAAUGACACGCAUCCUGAAACUACUAAUGUGGAUCAGGUCCCACUAAAUUUGCAAAGGCCCAAUAUAGACAAGUUCAUUUUUAGACCUGUACCUGUUAGUGUCAUUGAAAAACAUCUUAAUAAUCUAAAAAUGAAAAACCAGUCUGGACCUGAUCAAAUCCCAGCAAUGCUGUUGAAGCUCAGUGCGCCGGCAAUUGUUAAACCCGUCACAACCCUAAUUAACGAAUCCUUGGUGUCUCGAUACAUACCCAAACUUUGGAAGACUGCGAGAGUAGUGCCUAUCCAUAAAAGUGUUGACAUUACUUUGGUUUCUAACCAUCGCCCAAUAUCAUUGCUCCCAGUAUUGUCAAAACUCUUAGAAAAAUGUGUCCAUACGCAACUAUGAGUAUUACCAACAAUCAAACUAUCUGACCCCUGAUCAAUCUGUUUUUUGCUAGAAUCACUCCACUACAACCGCCCUCUUAAAAAUUUGCAAUGACAUCCAAACUGGCAUGGAACAAGGAGACCUAACUAGAGCUAUUUUCCUUGAUUUUGCUAAGGCCAGUAAACAGUAAACCACGACAUUCUACUGCACAAACUAAAAAAACUCAGGUAUUGGUGAUUGUCCGCUAACCUGGUUUCGAUCUUAUGUAUUGGAUCGCUCGCAAUAUGUGUCCAUUUCUGACAGCGACUCCCUCCCUCUCUGAGUCACGUGUGGUGUUCCCCAAGGUUUCAUUCUCGGCCCCCUACUAUUUACAUUAUUUAUAAAUGAUCUGCCUAAUGUCUGCAAAUCCUCCGCACCUGUCAUAGUUGAAAUAAAUUUUGUAUAUAUUGUGUAUUAAUAUUGUUUUUGUAUUUUAUUGUACCCUACUGUAUCAAUGCAAG